This is a microRNA precursor of Gallus gallus (chicken), 94 nucleotides long. Ensembl annotates it as gga-mir-130c. Its record names the gene gga-mir-130c. Lineage: Eukaryota; Metazoa; Chordata; Aves; Galliformes; Phasianidae. The record is from Ensembl.
UUGAGCGGUGUCUGUCCAGCGCCCUUUUUAUGUUGUACUACUAGUGAUCAUACACAAAGCAGUGCAAUGUUAAAAGGGCAUUGGCCAGCAGUGC